GUGCCAGCAGCCGCGGUAAUACAGAGGGUGCAAGCGUUGUUCGGAAUUAUUGGGCGUAAAGCGCGUGUAGGCGGCAUGGCAAGUCGGGUGUGAAAGCCCUCAGCUUAACUGAGGAAGUGCGCCCGAAACUGCUGUGCUUGAGUGCUGGAGAGGGUCGCGGAAUUCCCCAAGUAGAGGUGAAAUUCGUAGAUAUGGGGAGGAACACCGGUGGCGAAGGCGGCGACCUGGACAGUAACUGACGCUGAGACGCGAAAGCGUGGGGAGCAAACAGGAUUAGAAACCCGAGUAGUCC
This 292-nucleotide ribosomal RNA is filed under the name uncultured bacterium. Its description in RNAcentral is "partial 16S ribosomal RNA". It matches the Rfam family "Bacterial small subunit ribosomal RNA", at positions 505 to 796 of the family's 1533-position model. The record is from RNAcentral.